GAAGCGUGGACGCCAGUCUGCGUGGAGCCAACCUUGAAAUACCACCCUUUAAUGUUUGAUGUUCUAACGUUGGCCCCUGACCGGGGUUGCGGACAGUGUCUGGUGGGUAGUUUGACUGGGGCGGUCUCCUCCCAAAGCGUAACGGAGGAGCACGAAGGUUAGCUAAUCCUGGUCGGACAUCAGGAGGUUAGUGCAAUGGCAUAAGCUAGCUUGACUGCGAGCGUGACGGCGCGAGCAGGUGCGAAAGCAGGUCAUAGUGAUCCGGUGGUUCUGAAUGGAAGGGCCAUCGCUCAACGGAUAAAAGGUACUCCGGGGAUAACAGGCUGAUACCGCCCAAGAGUUCAUAUCGACGGCGGUGUUUGGCACCUCGAUGUCGGCUCAUCACAUCCUGGGGCUGAAGUAGGUCCCAAGGGUAUGGCUGUUCGCCAUUUAAAGUGGUACGCGAGCUGGGUUUAGAACGUCGUGAGACAGUUCGGUCCCUAUCUGCCGUGGGCGCUGGAGAAUUGAGGGGGGCUGCUCCUAGUACGAGAGGACCGGAGUGGACGCAUCACUGGUGUUCGGGUUGUCAUGCCAAUGGCACUGCCCGGUAGCUAAAUGCGGAAGAGAUAAGUGCUGAAAGCAUCUAAGCACGAAACUUGCCCCGAGAUGAGUUCUCCCUGAGACUU
RNAcentral lists this ribosomal RNA (665 nucleotides) under Klebsiella pneumoniae. Its description in RNAcentral is "partial 23S ribosomal RNA". It matches the Rfam family "Bacterial large subunit ribosomal RNA", at positions 2159 to 2823 of the family's 2925-position model. Lineage: Bacteria; Pseudomonadati; Pseudomonadota; Gammaproteobacteria; Enterobacterales; Enterobacteriaceae. The record is from RNAcentral.